This 497-nucleotide ribosomal RNA is filed under the name uncultured bacterium. RNAcentral describes it as "partial 16S ribosomal RNA". It matches the Rfam family "Bacterial small subunit ribosomal RNA", at positions 28 to 507 of the family's 1533-position model. The record is from RNAcentral.
GACGAACGCUGGCGGCGUGCCUAAUACAUGCAAGUUGAGCGAUGAAGCUUGGUGCUUGCACCAAUUUGAAGAGCAGCGAACGGGUGAGUAACGCGUGGGGAAUCUGCCUUUGAGCGGGGGACAACAUUUGGAAACGAGUGCUAAUACCGCAUAACGACUUUAAACAUAAGUUUUAAGUUUGAAAGAUGCAAUUGCAUCACUCAAAGAUGAUCCCGCGUUGUAUUAGCUAGUUGGUGAGGUAAAGGCUCACCAGGGCGAUGAUACAUAGCCGACCUGAGAGGGUGAUCGGCCAAAAUGGGAAGGAGACACGGCCCAAAAUCCUACGGGAGGCAGCAGGAGGGAAUCUUCGGCAAUGGACGAAAGUCUGACCGAGCAACGCCGCGUGAGUGAAGAAGGUUUUCGGAUCGUAAAACUCUGUUGGUAGAGAAGAAAGUUGGUGAGAGUGGAAAGCUCAUCAAGUGACGGUAACUACCCAGAAAGGGACGGCUAACUACGUG